RNAcentral lists this long non-coding RNA (260 nucleotides) under Homo sapiens (human). Its description in RNAcentral is "non-protein coding lnc-ORC3-4:1". The record is from RNAcentral. Lineage: Eukaryota; Metazoa; Chordata; Mammalia; Primates; Hominidae.
GGAAUUCUGAGUGGCUUAGCUGUAUGGUUCUAGUUCAUGGUCUCACAUGCAGUUGCAGUCAAGAUGUUGGCUGAGGCUGCAGUCAUCCAAAGACCUGACUGGGACUGGAGGAGCCACUUCCAAGAUGGCUCACCCACGUGGCUGUUGUGGGCAGGAGGCCUUACUUUCUUGCCAUGUAGUCAUCUUCAUAGAUCUGCUUGAGUGUCCUCGUGACAUGGCAGCUGACUUCCUUCACAGUGAGUGAUCCAAGGAAGAGAGUA